UAGGGGAUAUUGCACAAUGGGCGGAAGCCUGAUGCAGCAACGCCGCGUGAGUGAUGAAGGCCCUCGGGUCGUAAAACUCUUUUCAAGAGGAAGAGGAAGGACGGUACUCUUGGAAUAAGCCUCGGCUAACUACGUGCCAGCAGCCGCGGUAACACGUAGGAGGCGAGCGUUAUUCGGAUUUACUGGGCGUAAAGCGCGUGUAGGCGGCUGAUCAAGUUGGAUGUGAAAGCUCCCGGCUUAACUGGGAGAGGACGUUCAAAACUGAACAGCUUGAGUAUGAGAGAGGAAAAUGGAAUUCCGGGUGUAGUGGUGAAAUGCGUAGAUAUCCGGAGGAACACCAGUGGCGAAGGCGAUUUUUUGGCUCAAGACUGACGCUCAGACGCGAAAG
RNAcentral lists this ribosomal RNA (388 nucleotides) under uncultured bacterium. RNAcentral's name for it is "bacterial SSU rRNA". It matches the Rfam family "Bacterial small subunit ribosomal RNA", at positions 355 to 759 of the family's 1533-position model. The record is from RNAcentral.